ACCUCUGGUUGUAGUCUAACCUAAACUAAUUUGGCUGCAGCUAAAUCUAAGCAUGUUUAACUGGAAUAUCAUUGUCAUCCUCUGCUUUUUAUAGUGCUGUGCAUGUUGAUAGCACCAUGUAAAUUAAUACCUCUUUCUUUAAAAUAUAUUUAAAUAACCUCUAAAAUAACUUUAAUAUAAAGUGUUUAGAAUCAUAAAGCUGGGAAUAACUCAAAAGCCUCUAACAACAUUUUAAUAUAGUCAACUUAAAAUAACUCGAGGGAUGCCUCUAUCAUCAAAUACCUGGAGGUGAUUUUUAUUCUAGUUCUGACUCUGCUACUGUCAACUCCAAAAGUGAACUAGGAUAGAUAAUCUUUGCAGAACUUAUAUUCUGCUGACAAAUGUCUACCUCUACCUUUUUUCUUUAUACUCUUCUGUAGGUUUUACCCUUUGCUUAUAAGCAUGCACUGGUAAACAAAAUGUAUGGCAGAGGUCUCAAAUUUGCAAAUAAACUUGCAGAGGAGAAGCCCACCAAAGACAACUUGAAGAAUUGUAUACAGCUAAUGAAGUUACUUGGAUGGACUCACUGUGCGUCUUUAACCGAAAACUGGCUUCCUGUGAUGUUCCCACCUGAUUAUUGUGUGUUUUGAAAUACCUGCAAUUGUAAAUUUAAGAUGUUCUUACAUUGACUGAAUAUAAAAAUCUGUGAACUUAUUGGAUUGCAUGUUUUCAUCCAUUAUUGAAUGCUUAACUUGUAUGUAUUAAUCAGAGGAUAAGGGGGUUGCAGUAUAUGUGUGCUAGUUUGGGUCCAGACAUAAGGAAGUCUGUUUAAACUUAAUUCUUAGUUUCUUGAAUAGCUCAUUUGCCUCAGAAAUGAAAAUUUAAAAACAAAAUCUAUUGAAUACAUCACAUUGCUGGCAAUGGAUGUUUGAGAACAGCCAGCGCCAAGGUUUAGAAAAUGAAGGUGGAAAAGCUUCUUGCAUGUGUAUGUGGCUCUUAACUGUUUGUAAUUUUAAUUAUAAGGCUAUACAAGCUGUUAUUUUUACAAUGAGCAGGAUUUUAACAUGUUUAAACAUAAAUUUUCAAUUGUAUGAAGGCCUUAAAUGAAGCUACAAGAAGAGUAGCUAAAACCUUAUUUAUUAGUCUUAAUAAUAAUAGAACAUAAUUACCAGUAUCAUUUGCAAGAGUUUACAUUUUAAUUUUUUUAAAAAAAUAACAACUUCCACAGUCACUAACAAUGUGUUCUGAAUUACUGGUGCAAAGGUGCUCUUGAAUAUCUUCAACUUGAAGGUACUCUCAAAUAUCCACAUGAUACAGAGUAUCAGGAAAAACUGAUACAUGUAUAAAGUGUCAGUUAACACUUAAUCAGGUAUUGUAAAACUUAUACAUACAUGUUAAUAAUGUUUGAAAAAUGUAAAACUGCAGAAUAAAUGUGCAAAUUUCAAUAUCAAAAGUUUGAGCACUCAUGGUUUAAUUUUGUUAAAAUAAAAUAUUGAACAAGUUUGA
This is a non-coding RNA of Python bivittatus (Burmese python), 1485 nucleotides long. Lineage: Eukaryota; Metazoa; Chordata; Lepidosauria; Squamata; Pythonidae. The record is from RefSeq and is a predicted model, not a curated record.